CCAACAUGGAUACCUUGGGAGGUCAUUCUCCAUGGGUUCUAAGAGAUGUAGGGGAGUACAGGGCUCUCCCUCGUGACGGAAAGUCCCUUUCCACAACAUUGGAGAAGUGGGUCUUUGAUCUGCACCUGCAUAUUCCUCUGGCUUCUCAAAGUCCUCUAGAAAAUGACUGAGGAGAUAAAUCAUGCAGCAAACAGUU
Molecule: small nucleolar RNA, 196 nt
Organism: Heterocephalus glaber (naked mole-rat)
Lineage: Eukaryota; Metazoa; Chordata; Mammalia; Rodentia; Bathyergidae
Gene: SNORA73
Rfam family: Small nucleolar RNA SNORA73 family
About the family: U17 (SNORA73A and SNORA73B) also known as E1 belongs to the H/ACA class of small nucleolar RNAs (snoRNAs). Vertebrate U17 is intron-encoded and ranges in length from 200-230 nucleotides, longer than most snoRNAs.
Source: Ensembl